Girardinichthys multiradiatus is the source of this 823-nucleotide long non-coding RNA. RefSeq lists it as uncharacterized. Lineage: Eukaryota; Metazoa; Chordata; Actinopteri; Cyprinodontiformes; Goodeidae. The record is from RefSeq and is a predicted model, not a curated record. The transcript has 2 exons.
AGUACAGUAAGGGAUAUAAUGUGUUAUGUUUCUACUGUAACCCUGGAGACAGAAAUCUCUAAACUUGAGCUUACUGAAUUCUUACAGAUGUUUUAUGUUGCCUAGUAACUGUUUUCAAUUCUCUCUUCUGUUUUUCUUUUUUGUGUCUCCCAGUUUUUAUUUCUUUGUCUGUUUCUCUCUUCCCUUCAUGGCCUCUAGUUUAAGAAAUUACAACAAAUACUUGUUUAUCAAGACAUGUUUUUCAUGUAAAUAAUUUAGGCUAAAACCACUGCUUUAGCCUCUUCUUGAUGCUCCAACUGAUUUUAUGUGGCUAAUGGCUGUUGCAUCUUAUUGGUCCCUCUGCCGCCGUUCCUUCUGCUGCCUGCCUCUCUUUGUGUCAGGUGAGAAGUCGUGGCUUGGCGGAGGGCUUUCUAACACGUGAUUGGCAGGUCUAUCCGUCACUCAGCUCCUGGGACUCUCGCUCGCUCUAAUUAGGUCGCUUGGCUUGUUCACCUCCCAGGGUUGGAUGCUACAGCAGAGCACAGAUCAAAUGACACCCCCUUGUUUUGUGGGGGACGUUUAAAGGCGGUGGCAGAAGGCAGAGGGAAGGCAUCUGUUUGGCGUCUGAAGCCCCCACACAGAAACGUCCUUUCCACACAGGGAAAAUAUUAACCAGAAAUUAGCAGCAGCUGCAUGGGAAACACAAAAAGAGGAGCAGUAACUGGAUCUCUCUGCUGUACAAACAAAAAUGCAACGUGAAAUCAUCCUGAAAUUAUUAUUAUUGUUUUGUAUUUUGUAUUUGCUGCUGUCUGGUCUGGCAUUAAAAACAAUCAGUUGAAGAUGA